UACAGAGGGUGCAAGCGUUGUUCGGAAUUAUUGGGCGUAAAGGGCGCGUAGGCGGUGCGGUAAGUCUGCAGUGAAAUCUCUGGGCUCAACUCAGAGUCUGCUGUAGAAACUGCCGUGCUUGAGUGUGGGAGAGGUGAGUGGAAUUCCCGGUGUAGCGGUGAAAUGCGUAGAUAUCGGAAGGAACACCUGUGGCGAAAGCGGCUCACUGGACCAUUACUGACGCUGAGGCACGAAAGCUAGGGGAGCAAACAGG
This 253-nucleotide ribosomal RNA is filed under the name uncultured bacterium. Its description in RNAcentral is "partial 16S ribosomal RNA". It matches the Rfam family "Bacterial small subunit ribosomal RNA", at positions 524 to 776 of the family's 1533-position model. The record is from RNAcentral.